GCAUUUUGGGCGUGUGAUUUGUGGCAAAGUGAUGAGCUUGAUUCCAUCCCCUUGUUGCAAACCUCACGCCGAAGGUGG
RNAcentral lists this microRNA precursor (78 nucleotides) under Drosophila grimshawi. Its description in RNAcentral is "mir-988 microRNA precursor family". It matches the Rfam family "mir-988 microRNA precursor family". The record is from Rfam by way of RNAcentral. Lineage: Eukaryota; Metazoa; Arthropoda; Insecta; Diptera; Drosophilidae.